RNAcentral lists this long non-coding RNA (762 nucleotides) under Rattus norvegicus (Norway rat). RNAcentral describes it as "long non-coding RNA NONRATT003216". Lineage: Eukaryota; Metazoa; Chordata; Mammalia; Rodentia; Muridae. The record is from RNAcentral.
CAGGAAUGAGAUGAGCCAGUGCUCACUAAGGUUGAGCUAGGGCUUGCCCCUGGAAACUUCCUCUACUCACUUUACCAAUCUCAGCCUGUACUUCUCGAAGUUUCCGCUUAUAUCGCUGGGCAUCUCCUUUUAGCUGGUGAUUGUGGUUCUGGAGGCUGCUAAUCAGGUGGCGCAUUUCACGGUUGAUAGGCCCUGGGGAAAAGUCAGGAAGGAAGUGUUGAGCUGUCUCCUUCCGGCUCUCCAACUCCAGAGGCUGAGCCAGUGCCAAUACAGAAGCAGGGAAGCAGGCCUCACAGAGGCUGGAGAAAUGGCUCAGUGGGUAAGAAAGAGCACUGUCUGCUCUUGCAGAGCACUCCUGGUCAAUUUCCAGCACCGAUGGCACCUUCAACUGUCUGCAAUUUCAGUUCCAGGAGUUGUGGCCAGGACUUCUGGCCUCUGUGAGCACCAGGCACACAUGCAUGCAAACAAAAUGCUUACACACAUAAACAUUCAUCUUUUUAGUUUAUUUGUAUGGUGUUUUACUUACAUACUUCUGUGCACCAUGUGUGUGCAAUGGAGUAUACUCAAAGGCCAGAAAAGGCAUUGGAUCACUGGGAAUUAUGGGUAUAGGCAAUCAAAUCUGGGUCCUCUGGAAGAGCAAAGUAGUCAGUGUUCUUAACCACUGAGCCACCUCUCUAGUCGGUGGGGAGGUGGGAAUGGAGGUGGAUAGGGGACUACACUUUAUUUUUUAAAGAUUUAGUUUUAUUUAUGUGCUUUGCACAU